This 2559-nucleotide long non-coding RNA is filed under the name Salmo salar (Atlantic salmon). RNAcentral describes it as "lncRNA (ENSSSAG00000090929.1)". Lineage: Eukaryota; Metazoa; Chordata; Actinopteri; Salmoniformes; Salmonidae. The record is from RNAcentral.
CCUGGCAACAAAGGGAUUGGACAUGCGCGUUCCUGCGAGCACGCUGUUUUUUCUUUUUCUCCUUGAAAAAAUACGCUAUUGUCCGGGCAUCAUCUGUGAAAUCGUGUGUGAAAAUUAGAAUCCACUUGUAAAAGACCUAUCUGCUGCCUUUGAUACUGUGAACCAUCAGAUCCUCCUCUCCACCCUCUCCGAGUUGGGUAUCUCCGGCGCGGCUCACUCUUGGAUUGCGUCCUACCUGACAGGUCGCUCCUACCAGGUGGCGAAUCGCAUCUCUGCAUGUCUGGCAGACAUAUCAGUGUGGAUGACGGAUCACCACCUCAAGCUGAACCUCGGCAAGACGGAGCUGCUCUUCCUCCCGGGGAAGGACUGCCCGUUCCAUGAUCUCGCCAUCACGGUUGACAACUCCAUUGUGUCCUCCUCCCAGAGUGCUAAGAGCCUUGGCGUGACCCUGGACAACACCCUGUUGUUCUCCGCUAACAUCAAGGCGGUGACCCGAUCCUGGAGGUUCAUGCUAUACAACAUUCGCAGAGUAUGACCCUGCCUUACACAGGAAGUGGCGCAGGUCCUAAUCCAGGCACUUGUCAUCUCCCGUCUGGAUUACUGCAACUCCCUGUUGGCGGGGCUCCCUGCCUGUGCCAUUAAACCCCUACAACUCAUCCAGAACGCCGCAGCCCGUCUGGUGUUCAACCUUCCCAAGUUCUCUCACGUCACCCCGCUCCUCCGCACACUCCACUGGCUUCCAGUUGAAGCUCACAUCUGCUACAAGACCAUGGUGCUUGCCUACGGAGCUGUGAGGGGAACGGCACCUCCGUACCUUCAGGCUCUGAUCAGGCCCUACACCCAAACAAGGGCACUGCGUUCAUCCACCUCUGGCCUGCUGGCCCCCCUACCUCUGCGGAAGCACAGUUCCCGCUCAGCCCAGUCAAAACUGUUCGCUGCCCUGGCACCCCAAUGGUGGAACAACUCCCUCACGACGCCAGGACAGCGGAGUCAAUCACCACCUUCCGUAGACACCUGAAACCCCACCUCUUUAAGGAAUACCUGGGAUAGGAUAUAGUAAUCCUUCUAUAGGCAUGUGUUUGUAUUAGUGUUUUGUGGGAGAUGUUUCUGUGUAUAGCUUCAAGCCUUACAGGACUGUUAUUCGUCGUUGUUUCUUUUUGUGUACGUGUUUAUUUUUGGUUCACCUUCUUUGCCAACUAAAUAAAAAAGAAGAUGAGUGCACAUUUCCCUGCUGCGUCUUGGUCCGCUUUAUCCGACAACAACCGUUACAGAAUCUCCCACCAACCAAGGACCAAGCAGCGGGGUAAGGAGCAAGGGAACAAUUAUAUGGACUAUCAGGGGAAUUGGACAUGGGAGGAAAUUUUGGACGGGGCUGAACCUUGGCAUCAGGCUGGGGAAUACCGUCGCCCACGGGAGGAAAUAGAGGCAGCCAAGGCGGAGAGGCGUCGGUACGAGGCUUUGUAUGCGCUGAGGGAGAAGCACGAGAGGCACCCCCAAUCAUUUUUUUGGGGGGGGCACAUGGGUAGUUUGGCUAGGCCAAGGGUGAGCCCUAAGCCAGCUCCCCGUGCUUUUUGGGAAGGACGUAUGGAGUGGAGAGCGCCUAGGUAUGCGGAAGUACGCACGAUCUUGCCCAUACGCACGCACAGUCUGGUGCGAGUGAUCCCAACCCCUUGCAAAUGCCGUGCUAGAGUGGGCAUCCAGCCUGGUAGGAGGAUGCCUGCGCAGCGCAUCUGGCCACCGGUGCGCCUCCUAGGUCCAGGCUACCCUACGCCCGCUCUACGCACGGCAACCAUCAGGCCCCUGCACAGCCCAGUUCGCCCUGUACUAGCACUCCGCUCGUACAGGGCUACUAGUUCCAUCCAGCCAGGACGGGUUGUGCAGGAGGUGCGAUCGAGACCGCCAGUGCUUCUCCACGGCCCGGUAUAUCCAGUACCAGCACCAUGCACCAGGCCUCCAAUACGUCAGCCCAGUCCAACUCAGCCUGUUCCCGCUCCUCGCACUAGCCUUAAAGUGCGUGUCUCCAGUCUGGCAGCUCCACUACCAGCCCCACGCACCAGGCUUCCAGUGCGUCAGCUCAGUCUCGAGCUUCCGACAACAGUUUCCUGUCCAGAGUAUCCGGCAACAGUGUCCAGUCCAGAGUAUCAGGCAACAGCGUCCAGUCCGGAACCGAGUGAGUCUGGCUGCAGUCCGGAACCGAGUGAGUCUGCCUGCAGUCUGGAGCUAGAGUCGGUCUACAGUCCGGAGCCCCCAGAGACGCUCUGCAGCCCUGAGUAUUCUGCAGGGGUGGACAGGUUGGGUGGGGGUAGUAGACCGGAACCUGAGCCACCUCCAGUAUAGGUGGCUCCCCUCCCUUUAGUUUAGGGGGAUUUUUUUUGUUUUGGGGGGUGUCGUGUCUUUGGGGGUACCAUUAAACUGAAGAUAUGUUUAUCAAUUAGCUCCCUGUAAUUAUUAUCACGCAAUUACAUUGAUUAAUCGUUUAAUUGUAAUUAACUAGGAGAUCGGGGCACCAAGGAGAAUAUUCAGAUUACAAAGCUAUAAUUUUCCUAAUAUAACUUUCCU